CAAAUUUUAAAUCUACCUGGUUUCCAGGUCGAGUUGUAAUUUGAAGAAGUGUUUUUUACUUUCCGGGUUGGGUUAAAUCCUUUGGGAUAAGGUAUCAUGGAGGGUGAGAAUCCCGUGUAUACCAACCGCAGGAUYGUUUAAUAUACACUUUCUAAGAGUCGAGUUGUUUGGGAAUGCAGCUCUAAAUGGGUGGUAAAUUUCACCUAAUGCUAAAUAUAAGCGAGAGACCGAUAGCGAACAAGUACCGUGAGGGAAAGAUGAAAAGAACUUUGAAAAGAGAGUUAAAUAGUACGUGAAAUUGUUGAAAGGGAAACGGUUGAAGUCAGUCAUGCCGGCGGGAAUCAACUUAGGGGAAACUCUGAGUGCACUUCUUCGCUUGGCAGGUUAGCGUCGAUUUUGGAUGUCAUAAAAUGACUGGGGGAAGGUAGCUCUUUCGGGAGUGUUAAGCCCUURGUAGAUGUGAUGUCCGGGAUCGAGGAUUGCAACGGAUACCUUUUGGGCUAMCCGCCUAGUCUCUAAUACGAAGUUGGGUUAUGGACAGCACGCUGACUGUGAUCUGAUUUUCGGUU
Molecule: ribosomal RNA, 569 nt
Filed under: Glomeromycotina sp.
Lineage: Eukaryota; Fungi; Glomeromycota
Description: eukaryotic LSU rRNA
Rfam family: Eukaryotic large subunit ribosomal RNA
Source: RNAcentral